CUGAUGAAGCAUCAUUUCUUAGACUGGUUUGUACCUUAGGGAACUGUGAAAAUAGUGAAGGUUUUAAAGAAAGUUUAUAUAUAUAUAUUUUUUUGGCUUUUUAAAAGAUGUCGUUGGUAAACCUGCUCUCAACAAGGAGAUGACCGGCAGCGGAGACCUCACAAUCCAGCAGUGAAGCCUGCCAGCUGCUGCAGAUGACAGCUCCACACAGGACCUCAGCUGACCUGAAGCAGAAGACUCAGUAAGUAGACCAGCAUCAGUGACCGGGACAGCGUGUACAAUAAGCAGCGGAAGUUAACCCAAGAAGAGAAUCUAGAGGUGUGGAAGAAACAGACAAGGUGUUGCUGUUAGAAGAUAGUGAUCAAGGAUGGAGAUCCAACAGUCUGCGAGUUUCAGAUGUCAGAAGGAACAUGAAGUUAGAGAGACUUCCACGUCCAUCCCUGCGGCCCAUGGUGCAGUGCUGCAUCUCUGGUCAGUUGGUAGUCUGAGAUGAAGCACUGUAGCUCGGGACGAAGGACAGAAUUCCCAGCCUGAGCCAGGCAGCAGCAUCCGGCAGGGGAGAAUGAUACGAAACAAAGGGCCAUGACGCAGAAGGAGACUGUGCUUACAGACAUUUAGAGAGGAUCAGUCAGCCAAGAUUUUAGAUGAGAACGGACCGUUCAGGUUUUCCAUUUGUAGGGAAGUUGUUUCACUUAUCAUCAAUUAUUUUCUCUCCAGAGAAACCGCUCUGGUGGUGCCGUGGUUAGUAUGGCAGCCUCACAGUAGGAGGGUUCUUGGUUCGAACCCUGGCUAGGGCCUUUCUGUGUCAGCGGGCAUGCUGUCCCUGUGCAUCUGUGGCUUUUAUCAUGGUAUCCAGGUUGUGUUAAAUGCCUGUGAAUGGUUGUCUUGUCUUUAUGUUUCAGCCUUGUACUGAACUGGUAAUCUGUACAGUAUGUGCCCUGCCUCACCGCCAGUAUCAACUGGGAUAAAAUCCUGUCGCCUGCAACCCUUCAAAAUAUAAGCUAGUAUAGAUCAUGAAUGGAACAUAUCAAUUUCUUUGAAAUGCAUGCUAUCAAAUAUUUAAAUACAAAUUUAGAUAAAUUAAGUUUACCACCUGUAAUCAAUCACAUAACCCCAUGUGCCUUAUCUCAGGAUUUAGGUGUUUGGAUUGGUAUCACCAGAUGAGUCUGAGAAAAAUAGAGAAAUUACCUUUUUAAGAGUUCUUAUGGGGAAGUAUGUCCUAUGGGCUGUAUGAAAACCACAGCUAAACCUCUGCUUGUCAAGAAUGUGAGCUAUUGGUGUUGAUGUGAUGACGGGCAGAUUCCAUCAUUCUUAUCCUCUCUCCUAGGGUCCAGUUUUCCCAGGAAUCCCUUGACCUAUCAGAAAAGGGGGAUUCCUGGAAAUACUGUUCUUGGGGGCGGGGCCUAUCAGCAAUUCCAUGCACAAUAUUAUACCAAAAGUAAAUGUGGUUGUGCAAUAAUGUUCUAGGUUAUCAUCAAUAUUGAUUCACUGACUGAUUUACAGUUUUGAAACAAUAGAAACUAAUCAUUGAUUUCUCAAAGCCAUAUGUCAUAUGAUCAGACGGUUUAAAUGGGUUCCCUUCCCCCAUCCUCACCGCUGAGGGGCAGCAAUGUCUAUAUUCUGUGUAAAAUGUAUGAUUACGGUUCACUGUUGAAUAAACAUUCAAAUAAAUAUU
This is a long non-coding RNA of Acanthopagrus latus (yellowfin seabream), 1675 nucleotides long. RefSeq lists it as uncharacterized. Lineage: Eukaryota; Metazoa; Chordata; Actinopteri; Spariformes; Sparidae. The record is from RefSeq and is a predicted model, not a curated record. The transcript has 5 exons.